UGGGGAAUAUUGGGCAAUGGGCGCAAGCCUGACCCAGCCAUGCCGCGUGAGUGAUGAAGGCCUUCGGGUCGUAAAGCUCUGUGGGGAGGGACGAAACCGGUGGCGGUUAAUACCUGCUGCCCUUGACGGUACCUCCUUAGCAAGCACCGGCUAACUCCGUGCCAGCAGCCGCGGUAAUACGGAGGGUGCAAACGUUGCUCGGAAUCAUUGGGCGUAAAGCGCACGUAGGCGGCCUGUUAAGUCGGGUGUGAAAUCCCUCGGCUCAACCGAGGAAGUGCAUUCGAAACUGGCAGGCUUGAAUAUGGAAGAGGGUCGCGGAAUUCCCGGUGUAGAGGUGAAAUUCGUAGAUAUCGGGAGGAACACCAGUGGCGAAGGCGGCGACCUGGGCCAAUAUUGACGCUGAGGUGCGAAAGCGUGGGGAGCAAACAGGAUUAGAUACCCCGGUAGUCC
Molecule: ribosomal RNA, 450 nt
Filed under: uncultured bacterium
Lineage: Bacteria
Description: bacterial SSU rRNA
Rfam family: Bacterial small subunit ribosomal RNA
Source: RNAcentral